ACACAUGCAAGUCGAACGAUGAACUUGGAGCUUGCUCUGGGGGAUUAGUGGCGAACGGGUGAGUAACACGUGAGUAACCUGCCCUGGACUCUGGGAUAACUUCGAGAAAUCGGAGCUAAUACCGGAUAGGACCUUGCACCGCAUGGUGUGGGGUGGAAAGUUUUUCGGUUUGGGAUGGACUCGCGGCCUAUCAGCUUGUUGGUGAGGUAAUGGCUCACCAAGGCGUCGACGGGUAGCCGGCCUGAGAGGGUGACCGGCCACACUGGGACUGAGACACGGCCCAGACUCCUACGGGAGGCAGCAGUGGGGAAUAUUGCACAAUGGGCGCAAGCCUGAUGCAGCAACGCCGCGUGCGGGAUGACGGCCUUCGGGUUGUAAACCGCUUUUAGUAGGGAAGAAGCCUUCGGGUGACGGUACCUGCAGAAAAAGGACCGGCUAACUACGUGCCAGCAGCCGCGGUAAUACGUAGGGUCCGAGCGUUGUCCGGAAUUAUUGGGCGUAAAGAGCUCGUAGGCGGUUUGUCGCGUCUGCUGUGAAAACUAGAGGCUCAACCUCUAGCCUGCAGUGGGUACGGGCAGACUUGAGUGGUGUAGGGGAGACUGGAAUUCCUGGUGUAGCGGUGGAAUGCGCAGAUAUCAGGAGGAACACCGAUGGCGAAGGCAGGUCUCUGGGCACUUACUGACGCUGAGGAGCGAAA
Molecule: ribosomal RNA, 697 nt
Filed under: Agromyces sp.
Lineage: Bacteria; Bacillati; Actinomycetota; Actinomycetes; Micrococcales; Microbacteriaceae
Description: bacterial SSU rRNA
Rfam family: Bacterial small subunit ribosomal RNA
Source: RNAcentral